This 341-nucleotide unclassified non-coding RNA is filed under the name uncultured fungus. RNAcentral's name for it is "sequence contains ITS1". The stretch from base 1 to 97 matches the Rfam family "5.8S ribosomal RNA", at positions 50 to 154 of the family's 154-position model. The record is from RNAcentral. Lineage: Eukaryota; Fungi.
GAAAUGCGAUACGCAAUGCGAAUUGCAGAACUCCGCGAGUCAUCAGAUCUUUGAACGCAAAUGGCGCCAGUUUACUGGCAUGUUUGUUUCAGUGUGUUUGGAGAGCAUAAUCUAAUCAGUUUAUUUGAAUGCGAUUGAAGGGGUUUUAGUACUUCUUCUCUCGUUAAAUUUGAAGGUGUGAGGAUAAAACCCACACUGAACAAACGAAGUAGUCACAUUUAUGUGAUCUCGUUUAAUCAGUAAGUGAAGUUUUUCUCUCUUCGGAGACCUCGGAUGCCUGAACCCAAACCAAUCUCCAUAAUUAGCACCUGAAAUCAAGCAAGGCUACCCGCUGAACUUAA